UACGUAGGUGGCAAGCGUUGUCCGGAUUUACUGGGCGUAAAGAGCGCGCAGGCGGUCGUUCAAGUCGCGUGUGAAAGCCCCCGGCUCAACUGGGGAGGGUCACGCGAUACUGAUCGACUCGAAGGCAGGAGAGGGAAGUGGAAUUCCCGGUGUAGUGGUGAAAUUCGUAGAUAUCGGGAGGAACACCGGUGGCGAAGGCGGCGACCUGGGUCGACACUGACGCUGAGGCGCGAAAGCGUGGGGAGCAAACAGG
Molecule: ribosomal RNA, 253 nt
Filed under: uncultured bacterium
Lineage: Bacteria
Description: partial 16S ribosomal RNA
Rfam family: Bacterial small subunit ribosomal RNA
Source: RNAcentral